AGCGAACGCUGGCGGCAGGCCUAACACAUGCAAGUCGAACGAACUCUUCGGAGUUAGUGGCGGACGGGUGAGUAACACGUGGGAACGUGCCUUUUGGUUCGGAAUAACUCAGGGAAACUUGUGCUAAUACCGAAUGUGCCCUUCGGGGGAAAGAUUUAUCGCCAUUAGAGCGGCCCGCGUCUGAUUAGCUAGUUGGUGAGGUAACGGCUCACCAAGGCGACGAUCAGUAGCUGGUCUGAGAGGAUGACCAGCCACACUGGGACUGAGACACGGCCCAGACUCCUACGGGAGGCAGCAGUGGGGGAUAUUGCGCAAUGGGCGAAAGGCUGACGCAGCCAUGCCGCGUGAAUGAUGAAGGUCUUAGGAUUGUAAAAUUCUUUCACCGGGGACGAUAAUGACGGUACCCGGAGAAGAAGCCCCGGCUAACUUCGUG
This 433-nucleotide ribosomal RNA is filed under the name uncultured bacterium. RNAcentral's name for it is "partial 16S ribosomal RNA". It matches the Rfam family "Bacterial small subunit ribosomal RNA", at positions 29 to 507 of the family's 1533-position model. The record is from RNAcentral.